Long non-coding RNA from Cuculus canorus (common cuckoo), 752 nucleotides. RefSeq lists it as uncharacterized. Lineage: Eukaryota; Metazoa; Chordata; Aves; Cuculiformes; Cuculidae. The transcript has 4 exons. The record is from RefSeq and is a predicted model, not a curated record.
UUUGUUCAUCCCAAGGAUUUUUCAACAAGCCACCACAACCACUGUGCCCGCUGUCCAGAGGGUGUCACAAGAGGUGUUGCAUGAGGAUAACGGUGAAGAUUGCAACGGCACCCAGGAGGCCCCUCAGCCUCUCCCAUUACAGCGGGGAGGGACGAGGUGCCAGCCCAUCACCCCCAUGCAGAUGGAUCAACAGGAAUAAGCACACGUCCCACCCUCCAGCAGUGGUAUAAAACCAGAAUGUUUUGGGCAUAGCAGCAUACCCUGACCCUAAUGCCAUCUGGAUAGAAGUGAUUCCAGUUGGGUUCUUUAGUGCUUGAACACCAAGACCUUCAUCAGGCGUCAGCCAUGAGGAUCAUGUACCUGCUCUUGGUCUUCUUCCUCCUGCUGUUCCAGGGUGCUGCAGGAAAGCUGGACCGCUGCCGACGAAGAGGUGGAUUCUGCAGAGCUACAGGCUGUCCCAGAGGUAGACCACCUAUUGGAAGAUGUGCGAAUGGUCUCCGAUGCUGCAGACGGUUCUGAGGCUGAGACCCUGAACUCUGUGAAGAGGAGGUCCCCCUCGCUUCUGGCUCCUGGAACCGUCUCCUGAUGUCCUCUCCCGUCCCUGCCUCUGCCAUCCCCAGUGGUGUGACAGGAGGAGUGGAAGCGCUGCUCCUGCUGGGGGCCCAGGCGCUCGUGGGCUGGAGACAUCCCAUCACAGACCUGGUGCUUUGGGGCAGAGGCUCUCUUUCCUGGCUUGAAUAAAGACGAGCAGU